CGCAAUGGGCGAAAGCCUGACAGAGCAAUACCGCGUGAGGGAUGAAGACUUACUGAGUUGUAAACCUCGGUACCUUAAGGGAGAAGAUAUGACGGUACUUAAGGUGGAAAGCAUCGGCUAACUCCGUGCCAGCAGCCGCGGUAAGACGGGGGAUGCAAGUGUUAUCCGGAUUUACUGGGCGUAAAGCGUCUGCAGGUGGUUUCUUAAGUCUACUGUUAAAUCUUGAGGCUCAACCUCAAAUCUGCAGUAGAAACUAGGAGACUUGAGUAUAGUAGGGGUAGAGGGAAUUUCCAGUGGAGCGGUGAAAUGCGUAGAUAUUGGAAAGAACACCGAUGGCGAAGGCACUCUACUGGGCUAUUCCUGACACUCAGAGACGAAAGCUA
This 383-nucleotide ribosomal RNA is filed under the name uncultured organism. RNAcentral describes it as "bacterial SSU rRNA". It matches the Rfam family "Bacterial small subunit ribosomal RNA", at positions 367 to 762 of the family's 1533-position model. The record is from RNAcentral.